Molecule: non-coding RNA, 159 nt
Organism: Podarcis lilfordi (Lilford's wall lizard)
Lineage: Eukaryota; Metazoa; Chordata; Lepidosauria; Squamata; Lacertidae
Source: the annotation of a GenBank genome assembly
CUCGCCCGGCUGGAGAGGUGACGGGCGGCUAUUGAGGCUCUUGCCAUAGCCGCCCGUCACCUCUCCAGCUGGGAGAGCCGCGCGGGGCUGCUGGAGAGGUGACGGGCGGCUAUGGCAAGAGCCUCAAUAGCCGCCCGUCACCUCUCCAGCCGGGAGAAG